This 496-nucleotide ribosomal RNA is filed under the name uncultured bacterium. RNAcentral's name for it is "bacterial SSU rRNA". It matches the Rfam family "Bacterial small subunit ribosomal RNA", at positions 25 to 518 of the family's 1533-position model. The record is from RNAcentral.
CAGGACGAACGCUGGCGGCGCGCCUAACACAUGCAAGUCGAACGGAACUCUAUUCUGGAAGUUUCGGAUGGAAGGGACAGAGUUAGUGGCGGACGGGUGAGUAACACGUGAGCAACCUGCCUAUCAGAGGGGGAUAACGAUUGGAAACGAUCGCUAAUACCGCAUAACGCAGCGAGAGGACAUCCUUUUGCUGUCAAAGAUUUAUCGCUGAUAGAUGGGCUCGCGGCCGAUUAGAUAGUUGGUGAGGUAAUGGCUCACCAAGUCGACGAUCGGUAGCCGGACUGAGAGGUCGAACGGCCACAUUGGGACUGAGACACGGCCCAGACUCCUACGGGAGGCAGCAGUGGGGGAUAUUGCACAAUGGGGGGAAAAACCCCUGAUGCAGCGACGCCGCGUGUAGGAAGACGGUCCUAUGGAUUGUAAACUACUGUCUUCGGGGAACGAAAAAGACGGUACCCGAGGAGGAAGCCACGGCUAACUACGUGCCAGCAGCAGC